CCUGGCGGCCUUAGCGCGGUGGUCCCACCUGACCCCAUGCCGAACUCAGAAGUGAAACGCCGUAGCGCCGAUGGUAGUGUGGGGUCUCUAGCG
Molecule: ribosomal RNA, 93 nt
Filed under: Escherichia coli
Lineage: Bacteria; Pseudomonadati; Pseudomonadota; Gammaproteobacteria; Enterobacterales; Enterobacteriaceae
Source: RNAcentral